GACGAACGCUGGCGGCGUGCCUAAUACAUGCAAGUUGAGCGCUGAAGGUUGGUACUUGUACCAACUGGAUGAGCAGCGAACGGGUGAGUAACGCGUGGGGAAUCUGCCUUUGAGCGGGGGACAACAUUUGGAAACGAAUGCUAAUACCGCAUAAAAACUUUAAACACAAGUUUUAAGUUUGAAAGAUGCAAUUGCAUCACUCAAAGAUGAUCCCGCGUUGUAUUAGCUAGUUGGUGAGGUAAAGGCUCACCAAGGCGAUGAUACAUAGCCGACCUGAGAGGGUGAUCGGCCACAAUGGGACUGAGACACGGCCCAAACUCCUACGGGGGGCAGCAGUAGGGAAUCUUCGGCAAUGGACGAAAGUCUGACCGAGCAACGCCGCGUGAGUGAAGAAGGUUUUCGGAUCGUAAAACUCUGUUGGUAGAGAAGAACGUUGGUGAGAGUGGAAAGCUCAUCAAGUGACGGUAACUACCCAGAAAGGGACGGCUAACUACGUG
Molecule: ribosomal RNA, 497 nt
Filed under: uncultured bacterium
Lineage: Bacteria
Description: partial 16S ribosomal RNA
Rfam family: Bacterial small subunit ribosomal RNA
Source: RNAcentral